RNAcentral lists this ribosomal RNA (492 nucleotides) under Parafilaroides decorus. Its description in RNAcentral is "partial small subunit ribosomal RNA". The record is from RNAcentral. Lineage: Eukaryota; Metazoa; Nematoda; Chromadorea; Rhabditida; Filaroididae.
UAUUAGAAUUUAUUCUUUAUUUUKGUUUUAACGUGAUUUUGUUUUUUUUUUCUUAAUGAAUUUUGGGUAGAAUUAUAAUUUAAAUUUUGUUUUUAGUUGCGUUUUUAAGUUUUGUUGAUCGAAUUAGAUUAGUACCUAAUUAGACGAAGGUUAUUUUUUCAGGAGUAAAGUAGGGUUUAAACUGAAAUAAUAUUGGCAGAUUUUCUAAAUUAUCUUUGGAGGUUGAGUGGUAAUUGAGAACCCCCAUUAACUGCUCUUUUUAUUGGCUCAUGUAUGAUCGUUUAUUUUAUGCUUAAGGUUUUGAAUUAUAUUUUUUAUGAUUUAAAAAUAGAUAUAUAUUUGGUGUAUGAAUUGAGUUUACUUGACCUACAAUUUUUUAUAUAUUGGAUUUUUGUUUAGUAAGAUUUGAAAUUGUAAAAGACAGUAAAAAAAUCUUAAUGUUUUUUUGAAGAGUAUUUAGAAGUGGUACAAAUCAUCCAUCAAUUGCCCACA